AAAUUGAAGAGUUUGAUCAUGGCUCAGAUUGAACGCUGGCGGCAGGCCUAACACAUGCAAGUCGAACGGUAACAGGAAGAAGCUUGCUUCUUUGCUGACGAGUGGCGGACGGGUGAGUAAUGUCUGGGAAACUACCUGAUGGAGGGGGAUAACUACUGGAAACGGUAGCUAAUACCGCAUAACGUCGCAAGACCAAAGAGGGGGACCUUCGGGCCUCUUGCCAUCGGAUGUGCCCAGAUGGGAUUAGCUAGUAGGUGGGGUAACGGCUCACCUAGGCGACGAUC
RNAcentral lists this ribosomal RNA (284 nucleotides) under Escherichia coli. RNAcentral's name for it is "partial 16S ribosomal RNA". It matches the Rfam family "Bacterial small subunit ribosomal RNA", at positions 1 to 281 of the family's 1533-position model. The record is from RNAcentral. Lineage: Bacteria; Pseudomonadati; Pseudomonadota; Gammaproteobacteria; Enterobacterales; Enterobacteriaceae.